CCACCAAUCCUGUUGCACCACAGUGGGAACUCCAACAAUUUUCUUUCUGAUGACAGUGAGUGCUUACCAGGAACGCCAUGGAUCAGCAAGAUCUCAGCUUGUGUACUGUGUGAUUCUCAGAAGAAAUGCAAUAAUAGCAGCAAGAUGAUUAAAGUGAAAAAGACAAUUCAAAAAAUCUCCUACCAAAUGCACCAAAUACCUCUCGCUUAUUUAAUUCAUUUUUGUAGAGCUGCUUGUUGUUGUUGCUUUUGAGUUUAUAUCAUUUUUUUGAAUUGAAAUUGACUUAUCUAUUAAUGGAUAUAUUUCUCUUUUUUGGUUGACAUUCUCCAUUUUGUGGUACCUACCAACACUAAGCUAAUAGUGAAUAUAAACAAUUUUAUCUUUAAGUUUCUGAGUUUUCUUCUCUUUCAUUUUCUUAAUGCCCUCAAUUUCAUCAAGUUCUGAAGCUUUGAGACCACAACUUUCUAAGCCACAUAACAGACCACAUACAGACCAAGGGAUAGAGUGUUGGGUAAGGGAUCCUUUACACUGCAGCCCCAAGAGGCUUGGUCACAGGAAGCCAAACAAACAAGGGAAAAAAAAAGAAAACAGAUGACUCCAUUCAUGAGUUCAUGUGAAACAGCCCUCAUGCUCAUCCCGGGUUGAUAGGAACCUUCUUUUGCUCUUUGACCUUCUGACUGUUUCCAUCAGUCCUGCUUCACUGGAGAAUGGUCUGUACUAGAAUUCACUAUAGCCAAGAAAGAAUAUUUUAUCAUUUUGUUAUUAAAUAUUGUUGUUCUAAGAAGGUGAUGAACUCUUCAAGAGCAAAGACAAUAGUUUUUGUCUCUCUGGGAGAGCUCAGCACAAAGUUGAGCACGGCACAAUCAGUUGGUAAUUCUUCAUUAACCUGGCUUGACAUUAUUUGACAAGUUCCAUCCUUAUUGUUAGUAACUCAAAAGUGUACAAGAUUGCUAAAAGGUAUAAAUGAAAAGAAAAAAAUUCCUCCUUCCUGGCUAUCACCAAGGACAACAUUGCUUGGAAAGGAUUAAAAUGUUUUAUAUCUCUACCAACCAUUUUCCCAAGAAGCAAAGCCAAGCCUGCAAUACUGAUUAACAUUGUUAAUGUUCUUCUGUAGGCGGACAGGCAACUCAGAGGCUUGCUUCUCACCUUCCCCCUCUUCCUUAGAUAGAAUGACUUAACUCCUCUCAUUUUCAGAGAGAGAGAGAGUGGGCUGGAGGGUAGGGGAAGGGGAAGAGAGAGACUGAAACUUACUCACAGUUACACAGACUCCACUUGGUAUACAUAUAUCCUACAGGAAUUUAGAAAGCAGUGGACCUUAUAACAACAACACAAAUACUCUUUGCUUAACCCCAUCUACCAUAUCAGAAUAAAUGAGGAACCAGGAACCGAGAAGAGACUUGAUGCUGUAGGCUAUUCAAAGGCCUUCUUACCGAAGCCAGUGAAGUUUCAGUAUCAGAAAUAGCUGCCGCUUCUAGAUCUCACUGACUAGAGGAAAAAUAAAAUACCAUGACACACCUGGCAGAUUAUCGUUUUUCAGUUCAGUUGUUUCUUUAUACUUCACCACACACUUAGUUGCCUGAGACCCUGUUUUUCUAAAGAAUUUAAUUGCCAGACCUUACCUCUAGCCAGAUUUCUCAGAUAAUGACUGUGUGUUUCUUAAUUUGUUGGCCCUUUGACAGAAAGUAAAUGAUGGGAUGACUUGUGGUUACAACUAAAUCUGGUAACACAUACUUAUCCAUAGCAACAAGGAGUGAGCACUGGUCCAGGAGUCAAUAACUUUUAGCCCAAUUCCUUCCUGAAUGUUGGCGAGAACCUCAUCUCUUUGGGCCCUAUUUCCUUACAUGUAAAUGAGCAGGUUGAACUAGAUGAUUUAAAGAAUCCCUCCCACUGUUCAGGUUCUGUGCUACCAUCCAGGAGAGAAGACCAUAUGACAGAGAGAUGUGCAACUGAAAACCAGAAAACAAGGCUUGAGGUCCCCACCUUGCCUUGCAACAACUCAUUAAACCUUUCUGAGCUUUGGCUUCUUUUGUCGGUAAGAGCCAUUCCAGUUCUAAAGUCUAUGAUUUUUAUGACACUGCUUAUUGAGUCUGAAAAUAUCACAAACAUAAGGUCUCAGAAAUUACCUUGUAAGAUUUUCGUACUACACAGAUUGUAUCACAUAAACAACCCAAUUUGAUAAUCAACCACCAGCAUUUAUUGUGCAAGCAAAUAGUUUAUCUGCACAACUGUGCAGAGAUGCAAGGCUGCAUAUUUUGCAAACAUCAUUCAGUAGUGAUGGUCUUACUUGCCUUAUCUUAACUGAAUUUUAGAUCACUUAAUAUCUAGCACUAAUUACCACCAUGAUGUCUGGUUUUCACAAGGUUAAACACUGCAUCAAGUUGCUAAGCUUUUGUAUUUUUAACUCUCUGGAUUGUCUGCUUUCUACAGAAUGGUGCCACUGGCAAACAGCCAAACAAGCACAGACUGGCACCUUCACACAAUUGGAUUUUGGAAAACUGCAUUCUGAGGUGCUUCUGUAGCCUGUUUUCUGUAGUGGGUUCCACUUUAUAGUUUGACCUAGUCAUCUCCUCCCUUCCCUAGGAAAUAAAGUGUCAUUUUUGGACUGGUUUGAUUAUGGCUGGCUGUUGCCUGAGCUAUGAGAAUGCACUGAGGAAAGAAUGGCCAUAAUCAUGGCUAUCAGAUGCAAAGGAAGCCUGCUUUGCUCUGGGGUGCUGACUUUGUGCUCAUCAUUUUCCAGUCUGUCUUAUUGGCUUUCCUCUGAAAGAGAAACAGAAGUGCUGGCUGCCAAAGAUGGUUUGGAUCUUUAUCUUGCAGUUGCCAAAGUCAAAGAGGAAGGAAAAAAUAUGGGAAAUGACAUUUAUUAAGCACCUACUGUGUUGCCAGACACUGCUUAACUCAUUCAAUACAAUACUCAUGAAAUGACAUCAGACACGAAGGAAUCCAGGUGCCCAGUGUGGUCAGGACGCUGUCUCCAACUCCCAGUUCUGCUUUUACCUGUUUGACAGUUUUCACAUAGGCUUUCUUCAUUCACUAGCAAGAUGACAUCAGAGACUCCAUCCCCAUAUCCUCCUGGCUGAGGAAGACCAGAGAUGGAAGACCUCUCUUUCCCAUGCCUGUAUAGCAAUCCCGAGAAAUACUCAGAUUGGGACAUAUUCCUUAUGUCACACGUUCAUUACUGAACCAAUUCCCUGCCCCCAACCUCCAUCUGGGUUUGGCCAGUGUGUUCAAGAGUUAGGAUGGCAGAGGGCAAACAACCCCAGUGUGGAGUAGGGGAAAAGUUGGGUUUUUGUUUGUUUGUUUAAAAAAAAAAAAAAGAAGAAGAAGAAGAAGAAGAGGGGUAGCUAUCCUUGCUGGAGAGAUGAAACUUUUGUCUGUCCAAAUGGCUACCUUCAUCCACUGCAAUGAGCUAUUUAAGAAUAAUGUUAGUUUGAGUUGUCAGUCUGAAUGUUUUCUCUCUCCCACUGUAGUGCAGGAGAAAUGAAUCCAACUAGGAUCCAUGAGGAUGUGGGUUAAAUCCCUCGCCUCACUCAGUAGGUAGGGGAUCUGGCACUGCUGUGAGCUGUGGUAUAGGUCACAGACAUGGCUCAAAUCCUGUGUUGCUGUGGCUGUGGCAUAGGCCAGCAGCUGUAGCUCCAAUUCAACUCCAAGCCUGGGAAUUUCCAUGUAUUGCAGUGGAUGCCCUAAAAAGCAAAAAAAAUAAAAAUAAAUAAAUAAAAAUAAAAUAAAAGAAGAAGAAGAAGAAGAAGAGCUGGGUUGAGUCAUAAAACAGUUUUCAACAGAUUGAGGCAAUCUUAGAGGGAAGUUUGUGAAGAAAGUUGGCUUGAACUAUCUCACCGUAAGUAAUAAAUGUUUUGAGUCAGUCUGAAUAUUGCUGGAUAAGACGACAAAUACAAGUGUUCCUACUUUAGCAUUCUUCUAGAUAAUUCUACAAACCGAGAUUCUUUUAUUGGGGUUAAUCAAUAUUGGUAAAUGGUUAAUCAGUAUUGGUAAAUGGUUAAUUAUGAUACAAGUUAGUUGUGAAAGAGAGCUAAGGCAUUUCCCUAGUCACUCAUUUCUUUUGGGGGGUUAUUCUUUAGUUUGGUACAAACUACUUUCUCCGCAGCACAACUUUUCUUAGUUCCACCUCUGGCUGUGUUUCCAUGACUUCUUGUCAGUUAAACCAUUCCUCUAGUUGGUCAUCUCAGAUAGUACUAGCCUGGGGCUAGUAGGGAUGGAGUAAUAUCUGAGGAGCCUGUAGAGUCUGGUAUUUCAGCAAAGAGCUCAUGAGUUUAGGUUGUUUUAGCUAAUAGGUUGUUCUUCCAAUUUCUAAUAAUGUAAACAUAAAAAAAUAGCUAGGCUUAAGAUGAGGAUUGAUAAAAAGAGGCUAGUGAACUGCCAGCAUGGUAUCUGGUACAUCCUCUUCAUCUAAAGUGGCUGCCAUGUUAUCAUUCCAAGACUGCUGUCCAUGCACAUUCUUCACACUGGAACACUUGAGUCAUGGUGGGAGUAUAGCUAUUAGCCACUUCUGGCUCUUGCAUAUGUGCUCUGAACUGUCCUCUGCUUUCCUUUCUAUACUCCCUUUCCUUUGUGCCAAAUAAUUUAGACAAUACACACACAAAAAUUUUGUUUUGUCUUUUUAGGGCCACACCCAUGGCAUAAGGAGGUUCCCAGGCUAGGAGUUGAAUCAGAGCUGUAGCCACUGGCCUACGCCACAGCCACAGCAACGUGGGAUCCAAGCUGUAUUUGUGAACUAUGUCACAGCUCACAGCAACAUUGGAUCCUUAACCCACUAAGCGAGGCCAGGGAUCAAACCUGUGUACUCAUGGAUACUAGUCAGAUUCAUUUCUACUGAGCCACGAUGGGAACUCCCCCCACUUUUUUUUCCUUUUAAGUCAAAUUCUGAUCCUAAGAAACAGAAUGGAGAAAGCAAUUUUACUGAUUCUAUAAGCUCCUCCAAAGCCUGGAAUGUUCUCUCCCCUCUAUUAGUCUUCACAUAGGCCGUUCCUUCAUCAGAACACUUUCCUUCUUAUUUUUGUUUCAUAAGCCUUCUUACCAUCAAAGCUUUAGUUUAGAUUGCUCUCUCCCCUAGAAAGCCUUACCUGAUCCCUAAUCUUGCAUCUUCUAGGUUUGUGAUGUCUCCAAGCAUGUUAGACCUGCAGUGCUGUCUGGUGCCUGGCUCAGACAGAGACCUGAGCUCCAGGAAGGGCAGAGAUCAUGUUUGCCUCACUCAUCUCUAUCGAUCAUUGCACCCUCAGCAGCUAGCACAGUGCCUGGCCGAGAGCAGGCACUCAAUAAAUGUUCUUCCUUGGAAACCCAUGUCCGCGCCUUUUCUAGAAGGCUUUGAAAAUCAUUUACUCUUUUGUAUCUCCUCAGUUAUCUCUAUCCUGGGGCAGCAAUUUGUCACAAAACUCAGAGGUUUGGCAGUGACACCCAAGUUUAGUUAAUCUUGGAAUCAAGUUCCCAAAAAACACACACAUUGUAUCACUUAUUGGGUUGUGGAAUGCAUCUCACUUUUAGCAAAGGAGUGCAAUGCUUAGGUUACCAUGUCUGCUCUGAUAUCUUCUACUGUGUGACCCUGAGCAAGUCACUUAACAUCUUCAUGUCUCAGUUUUCUUACCUUGACAAUGGAGCUGAUGACAGUUUCCACUUCAAACUGUGAAAAGAGAAUAUGUGUGUCUAUGUGCAUGUGGGGGGUAGGGGAGGAAGGAGGCGGGGGGGGGGGAAGAGAGUUGGGGUAAAGAGAGACAUAAAGUACUUAGUACAGUCCCUGGCACGCAAUAUAUUCUCAAGAAUGCUAACCAUGAUGAUUAAUGAUUCCAUUCUUCCAUGUUUCUAAAUCAACAUGGUAUUAAUAUAUCCACUAACAAGAAUGUGAGAAUAAAGCACUAUGACAAAGGGAGAGGAGAGGUACAAGAUGGUGUUCAACCGGACCAUUAUUAGGGAAUCUAAUUCACUUUAGAAAAACAAAUGUUGAGAUGUUAUUUUGAAAUAUAUAUUAAAAUGUUAUUUUAAAAGAGCAACAGGAAGGAAGAAGUAGAAUUGCUGCUUGCCCGAAGGCUUUCUGCAAACCUUUCUAUUUUCCAUUUCUGUCACCUGUUCAGGUUGCCCUUUUGCCAUCCUCUUAACAGGCAAAAUGUUCGGGGGUGGCUAUGUUGCACCAUGCACCAAGGGGACUGAUAUGAGCUGAUUCAAUGAGCCUACUGUCUACUCUUUGUGUUUGACUAUUUAAAUCAAUGUGCUAUACAAUAUCUGUGUAUGCUUGGUGGCCUCUUAGCCCCAUUAGAAAACUGUGUGAGCAAGGGCAGGAGGCAGGGAGAUGGUUCCCGGAAUCAGCAACUAAUUUGCAAGCCUGAGGAGUAUGCAUGAAAGGCAGCAGUAAAAGUCAGUCAUCAGCUCUGAUAUUUAUAGUGAGAGGGAGGAAAGAAAGAAGAGAAAGCCAUGAAAUGUUAUUAGAAAGUCAGGAAAAUAGAGCUACUCAAUAUUACUCAUACCUUACUACCUGUUCUUCAUUUUUUUUAAGGAGUUUUUAUGUAUAAUGUAUGUGUGGGGUCUUAAGAAAUAGAAACAAGAAACUUCCUCCCCCUGAUCAAUGGUAUAUAAUAAAUUACUAUAUUUCAUUUCAAGAAAUUGAAAUGAACUAACCACAAAUGCAGGAAGAUGAGACCUAAAAAAGCAUAUGAGGUUUCCUUUUCUCCCUUAAUUUUUUUUUGUUAGAAAUUGAAGAAUCAUGUUGAAUUUCAAAUAAUCUGCCUAGUCCAAAUACCAAACUGCUGCAUAUUUUGCACAGUGAGGUGUGUUUUAAAAACAUUUUAUAAAAUACAUGUUAUAUAGUGAGAAAACCAAUGGGAGAAAAAAAAAUAAUUCUCACAUGGUAUUAGAAGAAUAUCUAGUGACUUGCAAAUAGGGAACAAUAUAAUAUUGUGUGAACAGCAAGCAUUUAUUUUAUUGUCAAUACCCACAAAUAAAUAAAUAGCAAUAAUAGGGGAGUAUCAGAUGCUUUGAAAACUGUUAGAACUACUGAAUCGGCACAGAACUAGGGAGUUUUAACAUGCCCGGAUGAACUGCCACUAUUGUAAGUGCAGAAUUAUCUUGACUCAUCUCUUGUUUUUGUAACUUUGAUUUAUUAUUAUCCUGGGGAGAUUAGACCUUGGUGCUUGGAAUUCUAAUUGAACCUCCACACUUGGAGAUUGCGCCUUUAUACUACCUAGCAACUAGAAAGCAGGAAAGCAUUUUGGGGGAGAAUAUGCUCAAAUAUACGUAUUUGAGUAAAAAAAAAAAAAAAAGUAACCUUUAACUGUUUUCUCGGUUCUUUGAAAAGCAUUCAUUAUAGCACUGAAACGACUCCUUAGGUUAGAAUUAGGACCCUUUGGGAAGGUUUAUAAAAGCUUUCACCUUGGAGAGGCCACUGGGUUUCCAGGGCAAUGAGUUAACCAAACCAGUAGUAAUCACAGAAUAUUAGGGUCUGAAAUGAAACCAGCUCUGUCCACCCUUAUUUUUGAAGGUGAGAAAACUGGCAUCUCAGAGGUUAAUAGCCUUGUUCAGGCCACACACAUCACGGUAAGGCUGGUCCUAGAAUGGCACCUCCUGACCUCAUCUAGCAUGAUUCCUAGAAUUCUGUGGUUCUCGGCACUUCCUCCAAUGUCUGGCACAAAGUGGGCUCACAAUAAAUGUGUAUCAAUUCACUGAAUGGCCUGAGAGCCUUAAUAAUUACAAAUAUUAUUUUAAAUUAGUUAAAAACACUGAAAAAAUCUUUUUAGAGAGACUAGUCAAUUGCAACCAGACCACUGUGAACAAGAAUACUAUAAACAGGAGGAAAACAUUUAACUAUAGCCUGUAGUAACAAGCUGAAACAUCCUAUGAUGGGGAGGUGCUGGAAAAGCUAGUUGCUUGUGACUAUCUAUAUCAGAAGCACUAGAAUAUCCUUGUCGAGGAUG
RNAcentral lists this long non-coding RNA (7913 nucleotides) under Sus scrofa (pig). Its description in RNAcentral is "lncRNA (ENSSSCG00055004353.1)". Lineage: Eukaryota; Metazoa; Chordata; Mammalia; Artiodactyla; Suidae. The record is from RNAcentral.